Vespula pensylvanica (western yellowjacket) is the source of this 475-nucleotide long non-coding RNA. RefSeq lists it as uncharacterized. Lineage: Eukaryota; Metazoa; Arthropoda; Insecta; Hymenoptera; Vespidae. The record is from RefSeq and is a predicted model, not a curated record. The transcript is spliced from 3 exons.
AAUGUAGACAUGCACCUUUCAAGAAGGCAACUUGGCUCAUGGAUAUGACAUGUAUCCGCGUAGCGGAUACCACUAAACAAGAGUCACGGAAAGCUGAGAUAGAAGAGCGAGACAGCGAUAAAAUGGGUUACUUGGAAAGAUAAUUGAUGGAAUUAAAGACGUUCGAUGGUAUUGGAGGCCUCUGCCCGGUAAUAUGGUCAUGGUCAUCCAGGCGAAUCACCCCAGGGCCUUAUUCUGUACCUGACUUAGCUUGACUCACACAGCUUCAGUGGUUCUCUAUUAAUGGGCAUACGUUUGAAGGAUAAAAAUUAUAAAGAUUUCUACGUACUAAAUGCGUUUUAAAUGACACGUAAGUAAAUUUACAAAUUGACAGCUUAAUCGUAUACGAGUGCUAUUAACAAUUAUGUAUUAGUUCUGUAAAAAAAAGACGAUAGAAAAAUAUAAAUGGAAAGAAGAAGAUAAGAAGAAGAAGAAG